AAAAAUUAACAUUUUAGUUAUCUGGAGCGUCAUAGCAAAUCUUUGCCCGAUUGUUAUCAAAAAAAAAAAACUUUAAAUUUUUAAUAAAGGUACAUUCUUAUAAUAUUUUAGUACUUUUUUAGAUAAAAAAAUAAAAAAUUUAUUAAUAUCUAUUUUUCACAAGAUUAUAUUUUUAUUUCCAAAAGGAAAUAACUUGGCAAUUGAACCAAGACUCUUGUGCUUAUCCUUUUCACUGUUCCAUGUGGGUCCUGAAUACGGGGCCUUCGCAUAGGCGUAACACGUUGAGAAUAUGCAUAGAACAAAAUCAUAUGGGCGAAAAAUUUUUAUUUUGAAAUAUAAACAUGAAAAAGGUUUAUGGUCAAAUAUACUGUCAUAUAAUUCGACAACGGUAUAUUCAUUAUUUCGCAUACAAAUUGUAUACGUAAAAACUAAUGCAAUGACGCAGAGAUGGAAACACUUCGAACAUUUCAUCUUUUAUUUUUCAAAAAUAUUUUAAUAAUGGAUAUACGCAGUUGUAUUUCCUAUAAAUGUUUAAAAUAUCAAGUGAAAAUUUACGAAUAAAAAAGAUAUCCUUUACUCGUUUAAAAAACGAACAAGUUAAAAAGAGAAUGGUACAUAUACGAUGGUCGGAAUGUAUGGCGUACCAACUUGCGGUACGCUAAAAGGAAAUCGCAGGAACAUGUGAAAAUUUGCGGCUCGAAAAUAUCGAUGCGCUUCACGUAGCUUACACUCUCUGACCAUCUCUCUAGUCCUUGAUGCACUUGGUAAUGCAAUCAAACCGGACUUCUUUCAUUUAAGGAGACGAUCGAUGAUGCGAAACUUGAAACACGCGCGCGUGUACAUCGAAAGUUCCGAGCCCUAAUUUCGUUCGUAUUUUUAUUUUGUGCGCGAUAUAACAAUUGUCAAAAAAAAAAAAAAAAAAAACAUCCAUAUUAUACACGAAAAUAUAAAGAUAAGUGCGUGUUAUACCCGUAAUCAUACGUGCCAAACUUAUUUGUGCCAGAGUGAUUUUCCAAAUUACAACAUCCUACACGCGUGUUUUUUAUUACAGUAAUCUACAAUUCCCCGUGGCAACUAUAAUUCCGUAUCGAGUUCGAUAGAAGCGUGUCAUCGAAUACAAUAGAAGACUAAUGACGUCAUG
Long non-coding RNA from Apis cerana (Asiatic honeybee), 1141 nucleotides. RefSeq lists it as uncharacterized. The record is from RefSeq and is a predicted model, not a curated record. Lineage: Eukaryota; Metazoa; Arthropoda; Insecta; Hymenoptera; Apidae.